Molecule: long non-coding RNA, 1572 nt
Filed under: Panax ginseng (ginseng)
Lineage: Eukaryota; Viridiplantae; Streptophyta; Magnoliopsida; Apiales; Araliaceae
Description: long non-coding RNA (PGIN_LNC001917)
Source: RNAcentral
AGAGGAUCUCCUCCAGCUGGCAACCUGGACAGAAAAGGAAAUGAUUAAUGGUUUGUUUAAGCAACCAACUUUACUAACACAACAACUUCAACAGGAGAGAGAUCAUACAAGCAUUAGCACCUUUCCUUUACACGCAGCAGAUCCAACAGAGAUUUUCAAAGUACACAAAAAUAUAUUUCCACUGAAUUUUACACUAAAAACAAUGGCACAAAUCAUAAAAGUGGAACAGCCUAUAUUUCCGUAUAUUAAAAGCCUAUAAUUCCGCAUAUCUAUAUCUAUAUGCUUAUAUGACAGGAAUCCUAAAUCAAGACCACACAUUGUUGCCAAACUUCCUGGUGUGCAUAAGUUACCCAAGGUAAUUUUGGCUCUACCAUACUACAACGAUCAAUUAGUAAUAGUUUAUGAUUAAGAAAGCUACAUAAUAGAAAAACUGAAUGACAAAAUGAGGAGAAAAAAGCAAAACGUCAAAGCAUAAGCAACAUAAACUUCUCUUUAUCGGGAUACUAAGGUGGAUGUAAAGAAAGAUUUUCAGAUUCAUUCAACCACAAAUUACAACAGUAACUGACAAAAUGACUACUUAAAAGUAGUGGCAGUAAGGGAAAAUAAACUUUUCAUGAAAAGAACUAUGCAAAGAGUAUGAUCAAUGUGCUUAUACUAGUACAAAAGUUGAAGCUGUAACAUACACUAGGCCAUUUAAACAAUACAUAUAAUAACUACUACUCAAUCAAAUGCUAAAUCAAUACUUAAUUGAUGCACACUUGAAAAAUUGAGGAAGUUAGAAGACUAUUACCACUAUCAUGUUAAGCAGACCUUGACAAGCAGUCCAGAUGGCUAAUCAAAUCUAUUAUCAGACCUUCCUAUCUAUAACUUUAUUGGAAUACAGGCUAUCCAUUGGGCCCAUGCCAGAAUAAUUUAACUGAAUUGUGAAUCCAAAUUAAGAGGUUGUGAAAAUCAAAGAAUAUGAGGAUAAUGAGUGCUGAUUUAGGGGUGUUCUAGUCUAAAAUAGGUACCGAUACUGGUACCGAAUUACCAGUGUCCGGUUCGGUACCGGUAAAAACCGGUUUUGUACCGAAAUUUCACCCACACAUGAAAGCACCCACAGGAAGCUUCUGGUUUCAGCUCACCAUCAUGGGUUGUCGAUGACUUGCUACACUUCUCAGGUUUUGAUUCCUCUGACAACGUAAAAAUACAAUUAACAAAUUAAAUCUUGAUUUCAUCAUUUAUUAGAUUUUCUCAUGUAUGUCAAUCGUACCAUUUUUUAAGGAAACCAAAAAGAAUGGAGCUUGGUGAUCUAUAUCCUGACCACCAUUUACAACCGAAAAGACUUGCUGCCUUCUGCUACCAAUAUUAUGUUUGAUCUAAAAGACCCACAACAAAAGAUAACACAUUUAAGCCCAGAACGGAGAAAGAAAGAAAACCCAGAUGAAGAUCAAUCUAAAAUCAGAGAAUCCAUAAGGGUUUAGCAUAAAUCAAAACUUACAAUUGAAGGGCUUGCAGGAGCGAAAGUGUUUAGUUGAAGAGGAGAGAGAUAGAGGAUUAGAUUUGGGAUGGUAAGUAAUUUGAAGAGGAGAG